Molecule: long non-coding RNA, 973 nt
Filed under: Hordeum vulgare
Lineage: Eukaryota; Viridiplantae; Streptophyta; Magnoliopsida; Poales; Poaceae
Description: long non-coding RNA (HVUL_LNC016284)
Source: RNAcentral
GAAUUUCCAUGCAUAAAAAUAUUGCAGCCGAGAGUAAUUGUUCUUUGAACAAAUAACAUGUAUUAAAAAGUAGAUAAGAUGAACAACACCUGAGUUGUUUUUCCCGGAUGCACGUCAGAAAAUCUUCUGACAAAUUUUAUAAAACCACGCAGCGGAGGCGGCGGCUCAGGUGCGUCUGUUGGGCAGUUCGCACUGGCAUACACUGCACCGGCGGGUUGAGUUGAACGCGAGAAUUGUCUGUCGAUUUGGCACGAAAUCGAGAAUCGGUCGCAAAGUUGUAAGCCGCCUUGGUUGCACGGACGUAGGAGUUGACUGCGUUAUUGUGAACCGUCUUGGAUAGUGAGUCGCCAGUGGUAUUGAUUUGAUACCCGCCUCAUACUCGCCGUUUUUAUAAUGAAUAAUUGUCCUGCAAACAAAACACACUGUAGACCAAAGUAAUUUGUUCGCUACAUAAAAUAAUACGUGCUAUGUGAACAGCUGAAAACAGAUAGCACCUGGUAUAUCUAGAUGAUGGAUGAUCUGCUUUUUUUUUUUAAAUCCGUCGGGGUGACGUCUAGUACGCCUGGAUGGCAUAGUCUCUCCUUAGCACGUGGUAGUUUCCCGUAUGCAUGUAGCAUCACAGGAAAAUGAACUUCUUGCUCCCUCUUAGUCUUGUUGACACAACGUUGUGCGACUAUCGGCCUCUAUAGGCAACUGAGGCCGUAAUGAUUAUUUCUGCCUUCUUCUCGAACCAAAGUCUGACUCGUUCUCCUGGCCAUUGGUACUGUGUUGGGAGCGCAGUGAAGCUGUGUAACGCAGCCAACGUGGUGAGCCAACAAGGUGGAGACGAGGUGGGCAAGGCCAAAUCGGCCACAACGCGGCGGGCGGAGCGAGGACAAAGCCGCCAUGGCGCGGCGGUGGUUUGCAGGUGAGACAACAACGACAGCCGUGGCGAGAAAAGGUGAACAUGCGAAGGCGGCCGAGUGUGGCCGAG